Non-coding RNA from Microcebus murinus (gray mouse lemur), 554 nucleotides. Lineage: Eukaryota; Metazoa; Chordata; Mammalia; Primates; Cheirogaleidae. The record is from RefSeq and is a predicted model, not a curated record.
AGAUAGGAAUUUCUGGAAAGGACCAUUUAACAGAGAGCAGCAGGAGAAAUGAUCAAGAGAGAUGUGGUGCCUAAAUAGAAAAGAAACAGAAGGAGAACCAGAGAAGCAUGGGGACAUUUUUCUUCCUGGGUGAAUGUGGGCUACACUCAGGACAAGCAACAAGACCCCUUGGAGUGCAAAUGUCCCGGACAUCUUAUCAAAAUGCAAAUUCUGAUCCAGAAGAUCCAGGCCCUCUGCUAGGUGCUAGAGAUGCCAAUGGGAUCAAGACAGACACGUUACUUUAUAGAGCGAACCUUCUACAGACUGGGGAAAAACAGCAGCAAUUUCUCUAUGGAGCCAAAGACAAUUUUCCCUGGAGUCAGAUGCAUGAGCAAGUCUGGAUGUGGAAGUGGAUGAACAAGACCUGCCCUGGGGUCACCUGGCAGUAGCCUGGCUGAGGAAGAAGGACCACACCUGAAGUUUACUUGAGAUUGAGUCUCGGCUUAGGAACCAGUGAUCAAUUCAUCCCCCAUAUUUUACGCUCAUUUCUUUAUACCUUUAUAUCCAAACCUUAA